GAUGAAGAACGCAGCGAAAUGCGAUAAGUAGUGUGAUUUGCAGAAUUCAGUGAAUCAUCGAAUCUUUGAACGCACAUUGCGCCCCUUGGUAUUCCAUGGGGCAUGCCUGUUCGAGCGUCAUUUGUACCUUCAAGCUCUGCUUGGUGUUGGGUGUUUGUCUCGCCUCUGCGUGUAGACUCGCCUCAAAACAAUUGGCAGCCGGCGUAUUGAUUUCGGAGCGCAGUACAUCUCGCGCUUUGCACUCAUAACGACGACGUCCAAAAGUACAUUUUUACACUCUUGACCUCGGAUCAGGUAGGGAUACCCGCUGAACUUAAGCAUAUCAAUAAGCGGAGGA
RNAcentral lists this unclassified non-coding RNA (337 nucleotides) under soil metagenome. RNAcentral describes it as "partial contains 5.8S ribosomal RNA, internal transcribed spacer 2, and large subunit ribosomal RNA". The stretch from base 1 to 120 matches the Rfam family "5.8S ribosomal RNA", at positions 35 to 154 of the family's 154-position model. The record is from RNAcentral.